AUACUAUAAAUUUUUGAUCCAAAAUGAUGAUCCUAUCGAACUUGAUGAGAACGAUGACGACCUGAUCACCUAUAUAGAAGUCAUGUAAUGAUCCGACUCCCAAAAAUGGCUUGAAGCCAUGAAGUCUGAGAUGGAAUCCAUGGAGAUCAAUAGUGUAUGGAUACUAGUUGAUCUGUUUGAAGAGAUAAAAUCUAUAGGGUGUAAAUUGAUUUUUAAGAGAAAAAGAGAAGCAAACGAAA
RNAcentral lists this long non-coding RNA (239 nucleotides) under Elaeis guineensis (African oil palm). RNAcentral describes it as "long non-coding RNA (EGUI_LNC074174)". The record is from RNAcentral. Lineage: Eukaryota; Viridiplantae; Streptophyta; Magnoliopsida; Arecales; Arecaceae.